This 460-nucleotide ribosomal RNA is filed under the name uncultured bacterium. Its description in RNAcentral is "partial 16S ribosomal RNA". It matches the Rfam family "Bacterial small subunit ribosomal RNA", at positions 338 to 795 of the family's 1533-position model. The record is from RNAcentral.
CCUACGGGUGGCAGCAGUGAGGAAUAUUGGUCAAUGGGCGCGAGCCUGAACCAGCCAAGUAGCGUGAAGGAUGACUGCCCUACGGGUUGUAAACUUCUUUUAUAAAGGAAUAAAGUGAGGCACGUGUGCCUUUUUGUAUGUACUUUAUGAAUAAGGACCGGCUAACUCCGUGCCAGCAGCCGCGGUAAUACGGAGGGUCCGAGCGUUAUCCGGAUUUAUUGGGUUUAAAGGGAGCGUAGAUGGGUUGUUAAGUUAGUUGUGAAAGUUUGCGGCUCAACCAUAAAAUUGCAAUUGAUACUGGAAGUCUUGAGUACAGUUAAGGUAGGCGGAAUUCGUGGUGUAGCGGUGAAAUGCUUAGAUAUCACGAAGAACCCCGAUUGCGAAGGCAGCUUACUAAACUGCCACUGACAUUGAUGCUCGAAAGUGUGGGUAUCAAACAGGAUUAGAUACCCCUGUAGUC